This is a long non-coding RNA of Toxorhynchites rutilus septentrionalis, 1756 nucleotides long. RefSeq lists it as uncharacterized. The record is from RefSeq and is a predicted model, not a curated record. NCBI's taxonomy places the organism in Eukaryota, Metazoa, Arthropoda, Insecta, Diptera, Culicidae. The transcript has 5 exons.
UCAGCAGACUGCGUCGGGCGAAUGUUUUAGUACAAAACGCAAGCAAUUACAGCUGAUGAGAAUCAACGCACAACGCGGCAUUCUGUUUCCACCUUUAUAGUUUCUGCAGAAAAUAAUUGAUUGCGCAUUGGAAUACAUUGGAAUAAAAGAUUAUGUACCAAUCAACGGAAUAUAACAUCCGAUGGGACGCCUUGGGAUAGCAGCUCGCAUAGCCGUUCCCUCACAGCUUCCAGCUUCUGAGGACUUUGCUCGAGAACAAUCUGAUUGGCGGUUUCUCGGAGGAAUACUUGCCAGUCGAUUCCCGGUACCUGUUGGUUCACCGUGAACGGAUGCUGUUGUACCUUGCAAGCUUCCAGCAUGAGGAUAGCGCUUCGCGAAUUGCUCUCGGAAUUUCAGACAACUGUGAACCCAAAACAAGAAGAACGGCAAACAGUCAUGGAAGUUAUAGUUUCUGCACAUAAUUAUUUAUUGCGUAUUCGUAUACAUUUGAAUUAAAGAGCUGUAAGCGGUCACAGGAGGUUAGUCAUCAGAUUCUAAAUACCACACACCAACGACGCGGAUGCGACGGUUUACCAUUUGUGAGCGUAUUUACUGAUGAAGGUUGCGUUAAUGGAUAAUUUUUUGUUGCAUGUUAUCGCUUCCUGGCUACGGGAAACUGACAGGGUGAGGUUCCCAUCUACAGGGUGUACAAGGUUUUGAAGGAAAAAUAUCCCUCACUCGAGGAAACCAUUUAGAACCUCAUGAAAUUAAGCGGAUGAAUUGCCUACAUACGAGUUGUUGGUCAUAGCAUCCCAGACGUGCCAAAUGCGGUCAGGUUGAUACGCCUGAAGAGUGGCAGUUUUCCGGAAUUUCUCGAUGAGGAAGAGAAUCUUGAAAACAUAACGCUGCCUGGGAGCAGAAAUUAAUUAGAUGCGUAGCUUGCGUUUUGUGGUAGUUCAGUUUGGACAGCUCACGCGGACGGUAGCAGUCUACCCCGAGAGUCAUUGUACUGUAUAAGAUGAAACAGAGCGCACAAAAUAUAAACAGUGCCCCCUAAAAACUUACAAGAGUAAAUGUCAUCACCUCCAGAGAUGCCAGAUGAUUUUUUUGGAAGUUUUCGACGAGAAUUUGAAAUGUUUAUGUGCAUAAAUAUCUGCAAGCUACCUUUGUAUCCGCGAGAAUCGCAAAAUAGUGUCUAAAAAAAGAGGUUGUUAGCGGAGGAAGCUGAUUCUAAUCAUGAUAAGUGAAGUGGAAGGUAAAACGUAAUGUCAGAAUUGCCGUUCGGACGUAUCCCGUAAGUUUGAACUUAUUUACAUAGAUGGUAUCCAAUCAACACUAAACAUUGACUACAGUUUCGCCGGCACGGUUGAUUGCCGUUAUGAACCAGCACAAAAAACAAAGCUGCAAAUUAUACGCCAGUGGUACCACGGUACCACGAUCAAAGCAUACCUUGAAUCACAUUAGCCGAACCAGCUGGCGGAAGCAUAUGCAUAAAGGUUACUAGGUUACAAUUUUCAACGACAACUGUUUAUUUAUUAUACUGCUUCAAAUACCUUCGACGAAAUCAAAUGUAACCAUAUCAACGUAAGUAAUAACAUAAACAAAUCCAAACUUUUCGUCUUGCCAUUCCUCAUACGUCUUUUCUAAAUAGUGUAAAUUACGAGCCACCUGUUAACUCUACCAUCUUGAUUCUAAUAUUGCAGUGUAGCAAAAAACAGAAAUAAUUAGUAAAUAUAACGAAUUUUUUGGUAAAUACUACCAAUCUAUAGUCAUUUUC